UAAUAAAGAUAAAAUUAUAAUUUGAAACUAUUUACUUCCAAUCCAAGAGAAAGUAAACACAUAAAUUAGAUUUUGAUCUUCAUUCCAGUGUAAGUAAAUAACUUACUCCCACUCCCACUCCAUACUUUCAAUCCUAGGAUUCUCACUUUUCAGGAUUUUCACUCUAAUCCAAAAAGUAAACGCUACCAUAAAAGACAAAAGAAAUAUAUAUAGACUCCCAACGCGGCUGGACAGUUAUAAUUAGAUUGAGCUAGCCAUAAAAACAUUCCAUAAUUUAUCUUAUCCCUGCUAAUUAUACAUAGGGAUGGCAUCUCUUUUGGGACGGGAUUAUGACAUAUUUUUGUCCCAUAAAAAAAUUAGGGACGGGAGUGGGAUAUUUUUUUAUCCCAAUUACAUAUGCGGGACGGGAGUGAAAUUGACAAAUUCCGUCCCAUCCCGUCUCAUUACCGAUUAAGAAUUAAAAAUUUUCCAAUUGGGAUGGGAUCCCGCAGGAUCCCAUCUCUUUUGGGACGGGAUUGGGACAUACUUUUGUCCCAAAAAAAAUAUAGGGACGAGAUUAAGACAUUUUUUCAUCCCAUUUACAUAUACAGGAUCCCAUCCCAUCCCGUUUCAUUGCCAACCCUAAUUAUACAUUUCUUUCCAAGUCAAAAAAGGAAAUCCAAGGUGCUGGAUCUUAGGCUAUAGAUAUAUUUGCUCACUCCAGAGGUAAAGGCUGGGUUGGCUGCAGCAAUCAAUGUUUCUUAAGCAAUCACUAAGCUUGCAUCAGUAUUGUAUUCCUAUACUAGAAAAGGGAAACUGAAGUAUGUAUAGGUCAUUAAGGUCUUCAUGUACGAAACUGCUCAAUUUCCAUAAUUGCCAAGUUGAUACGGUUCAAAUGUUUUAGUGGAAAUUUUAGAUGAUUAUCGGUUUUUGAGAAGCUCUAACUGCUGGAAAUCUGCAAACUCAUUAUGUUGGUCAGUAAUUUUGGUUUACAUUUUCUUGUCUAGUAUGUAUCUAUUCAUUAUAUUUUCCUUAUUUGGGGAUGGCUUUAGUUGAUGCUAAUCUAGGUUUUCAACAUAUGUCAAUGCUCAUGACGAGCUAUUUAUAUAUCUUAUUAAAUAGUUGUUGAGCAGCAUUUAACUGGCUUUUGCUGUAUUUGAACACUAAGAGCCUGCUUGAGAUUAUUU
RNAcentral lists this long non-coding RNA (1166 nucleotides) under Citrus x clementina. Its description in RNAcentral is "Citrus clementina (C. clementina) long non-coding RNA (CCLE_LNC004108)". Lineage: Eukaryota; Viridiplantae; Streptophyta; Magnoliopsida; Sapindales; Rutaceae. The record is from RNAcentral.